UACGGCAACAUCAUAUUGAAACACCUGUUCCCAUAUGAUCAUCGAAGUUAAGCAACGUUGAGCUUGGUCAGUACCUAGAUGGAUAACUGCUUAAGAAUAGCAGAUGCUGUAAG
Molecule: non-coding RNA, 113 nt
Organism: Acanthosepion pharaonis
Lineage: Eukaryota; Metazoa; Mollusca; Cephalopoda; Sepiida; Sepiidae
Source: the annotation of a GenBank genome assembly